Molecule: microRNA precursor, 77 nt
Organism: Neotoma lepida (desert woodrat)
Lineage: Eukaryota; Metazoa; Chordata; Mammalia; Rodentia; Cricetidae
Rfam family: mir-3473 microRNA precursor family
Source: Rfam
ACUGUUGAGCCAUCUCUCCAGCCCCCUGAAAUUAACUUUUAAGAAAGGGAAUAGGGCUGGAGAGAUGGCUCAGCAGU